RNAcentral lists this ribosomal RNA (508 nucleotides) under uncultured bacterium. Its description in RNAcentral is "partial 16S ribosomal RNA". It matches the Rfam family "Bacterial small subunit ribosomal RNA", at positions 30 to 523 of the family's 1533-position model. The record is from RNAcentral.
AUUGAACGCUGGCGGCAUGCCUUACACAUGCAAGUCGAACGGCAGCGGGGGAGAAGCUUGCUUUUCCUGCCGGCGAGUGGCGAACGGGUGAGUAAUACAUCGGAACGUGCCCUGUAGUGGGGGAUAACUAGUCGAAAAAUUAGCUAAUACCGCAUACGACCUGAGGGUGAAAGUGGGGGACCGCAAGGCCUCAUGCUAUAGGAGCGGCCGAUGUCUGAUUAGCUAGUUGGUGGGGUAAAGGCCUACCAAGGCGACGAUCAGUAGCUGGUCUGAGAGGACGAUCAGCCACACGGGGACUGAGACACGGCGCAGACUCCUACGGGAGGCAGCAGUGGGGAAUUUUGGACAAUGGGCGAAAGCCUGAUCAAGCAAUGCCGCGUGUGUGAAGAAGGCCUUCGGGUUGUAAAGCACUUUUGUCCGGAAAGAAAUGGCUCUGGUUAAUACCUGGGGUCGAUGACGGUACCGGAAGAAUAAGGACCGGCUAACUACGUGCCAGCCGCCGCCGUAA